This is a long non-coding RNA of Pongo pygmaeus (Bornean orangutan), 1762 nucleotides long. RefSeq lists it as uncharacterized. The transcript has 3 exons. The record is from RefSeq and is a predicted model, not a curated record. Lineage: Eukaryota; Metazoa; Chordata; Mammalia; Primates; Hominidae.
CCAGGCUUGAGUGCAAUAGCUCCAUCUCGGCUCACUGCAACCUCCGCCUCCCGGGUUCAAACGAUUCUCCUGCCUCUGCCUCCCAAGUAGCUAGGAUUAAGGCGCCUGCCACCACGCCCAGCUAAUUUUUGUAUUUUUUAAAAGUAAAGAUGGGGUUUCACCAUGUUGGCCAGGCUGGUCUCAAAUCCUGACCUCAGGUGAUCCGCCCGCCUCAGCCUCCCAAAGUGCUGGGAUUACAGGCAUGAGCCACCUCGCCCAGCCUGCCUUAAUAUUUUUACAGGGCAAAAUAAAGUCAAAGUUAAAAUCUGGAGCUGCCUUGAAGGAGAAAAGUUUAAGGAAAAGACAAGGCCACUCAUAGUUUUGCCUCGGCAAAGGUAGAAUUUUGGGGCCACUCGCUGAAUGGCUGCAUCCAUAUCCAAAACAGAACAGCACCCACCAAAGUGAGCCACUUCCCCUGUUAUCUGUACUUGGAGGUGGCUCCAAUUCCAGACUCCUCACAGACUGGAAGAAAUUAGGGCCGCCUUACACUAAGGCAGGCAUACAUGUAGCAUCUUUUUUUUUUUUUUUUUUUUUGAGAUGGAGUCUCACUCUAUUGCCCAGGCUGGAGUGCAGUGGCAUGAUUGCGGCUCACUGCAACCUCUGCCUCCCCGGUUCAAGCAAUUCUCCUGCCUCAGCCUCCCGAGUAGCUGGGAUUCUGUGCAGCAAGUCCUCUGCCCAUAGGACUGGCAAAAGGAAAGGGGAAACUAGCACAGGUCACUCCUUGGAAAGUAGAAUCUUUGCAAGCUACUCUCAGAAGCCAUCACCAUUGCAACAACGGGGGAAAUAAGCUAUCGAACAAGAGGAAGUGACUGGAACCUAAUGAUACUAAUUCAGAAGUCACAAGGCUGACUUGAUGAUUAAAAGAUGAAAACUUGAGGCCAGCCCUACUCUAGGAAAGUCCUCAUCCCCAAAGAAAGGAGACCUGAGCCACUAAGUAAGAAGUCCAGUUACCCUGCUGGAUAAACCACAUGGAGAAGGAAAGGCCCUGAGAUACUUGGAGAGAGGGAAAAGUCCAGCUGCCCAGCACCUGAGCUGAGCCCAGCCUCAGCCAACCCCACCGGCUGACUGCAAACACAUCAGUGACCACCAGUAAGACCAGCAGAGCUGCAGAGCCAAGCCCAGCUGCAGAAUUACAGGGUUGCACUUUGUUGCCCAGGCUAGAGUGCAAUGGCUUCAUCUCGGCUCACUGCACCCUUCACCUCCCAGGUUCAAGUGAUUCUUGUGCCUCAGCCUCCCGAGUAGUUGGGACUACAGAUGUGCACCACCACGCCUGGCUAAUUUUUGUAUUUUUUUAGUACAGACAGGAUUUCAUCAUGUUGGCCAGGCUGAUCUUGAACUCCUGGCCUCAAGUGAUCCACCCACCUUGGCCUCCUGAAGUGCUAGGAUUAUAGGCUUGAGACACCAUGCCCGGCCACAAAUAAAGUUCUUUUUUUUUUUUUUUUUGAGACGGAGUCUUACUCUGUCACCCAGGCUGGAGUGCAGUGACACAAUAUCAGCUCACCACAACCUCCACCUCCCGGGUUCAAGCGAUUCUCCUGCCUCAGCCUCCUGAGUAGCUGGGAUUACAGGCGCCCGCCACCACACCAGGCUAAUUUUUGUAUAUUUAGUAGAGAUGGGGUUUCACCAUUUGGGCCAGGCUGGUCUUGAACUCCUGACCUUGUGAUCCACCUGCCUCAGCCUCCCAAAGUGCUGGGAUUACAGGCGUGAGCCACCGCGCCCAGCC